This 368-nucleotide long non-coding RNA is filed under the name Nicotiana benthamiana. RNAcentral's name for it is "long non-coding RNA (NBEN_LNC039590)". Lineage: Eukaryota; Viridiplantae; Streptophyta; Magnoliopsida; Solanales; Solanaceae. The record is from RNAcentral.
GUAGAUGAAAAAAAAUUUUAAAGCCAAAGAUAAUCGAUUGUCUAUUGUUUACAAUCAAUUGUUUUUGUCCAGUAAGGUUAAAACGUUUCAACUCUCUUAAGUUUCAGCGAAUGUUAAUUGUUUUAAAGUCCAUCAAUUCUUAUAAUAUAGAAUUGUCCUAUCUUGUAAACAACGAUUAACAUUCAAGUGUUACAUAUCAAAAUAUGCAACACAUUAAGUCGAGAGAAUUGUCCUAUCUUGUAAACAACGAGUUACAUAUCAAAAUAUGCAACACAUUAAGUCGGGAUUCAUAAAAUGGCUUAAGAACCUAAAGUUUAUAGCAUCUAAUAUUUUAGUUAUUCAAUUGAAGCAUUAUGUUGCCAAAGUAA